CCUACGGGAGGCAGCAGUGAGGAAUAUUGGUCAAUGGGAGAGAUCCUGAACCAGCCAAGCCGCGUGAGGGAAGACGGCCCUAUGGGUUGUAAACCUCUUUUGUCGGAGAACAAAACCCGGGACGUGUCCCGGACUGCGUGUAUCCGAAGAAAAAGCAUCGGCUACCUCCGUGCCAGCGGCAGCGGUAAUACGGAGGAUGCGAGCGUUAUCCGGAUUUAUUGGGGUUAAAGGGUGCGUAGGCGGUACGUUAAGUCAGCGGGAAAAUUGCGGGGCUCAACCCCGUCGAGCCGUUGAAACUGGCAGACUUGAGUUGGCGAGAAGUACGCGGAAUGCGCGGUGUAGCGGUGAAAUGCAUAGAUAUCGCGCAGAACUCCGAUUGCGAAGGCAGCGUACCGGCGCCAGACUGACGCUGAGGCACGAAAGCGUGGGGAUCGAACAGGAUUAGAUACCCGGGUAGUC
RNAcentral lists this ribosomal RNA (459 nucleotides) under uncultured bacterium. Its description in RNAcentral is "partial 16S ribosomal RNA". It matches the Rfam family "Bacterial small subunit ribosomal RNA", at positions 338 to 795 of the family's 1533-position model. The record is from RNAcentral.